AGAAUCAACGCUGGCGGCGUGCCUAACACAUGCAAGUCGAACGAGAAAGUGGGAGCAAUCCCAUGAGUAAAGUGGCGCACGGGUGAGUAACACGUGACUAACCUACCCUUGAGUGGGGGAUAACCUAGGGAAACCUGGGCUAAUACCGCAUAAUACCUACGGGUCAAAGGAGCAACUUCGCUUUAGGAGGGGGUCGCGGCAGAUUAGUUAGUUGGCGGGGUAAUGGCCCACCAAGACAGUGAUCUGUA
Molecule: ribosomal RNA, 248 nt
Filed under: uncultured bacterium
Lineage: Bacteria
Description: partial small subunit ribosomal RNA
Rfam family: Bacterial small subunit ribosomal RNA
Source: RNAcentral